UGGGGAAUAUUGCACAAUGGGCGCAAGCCUGAUGCAGCCAUGCCGCGUGUGUGAAGAAGGCCUUCGGGUUGUAAAGCACUUUCAGCGGGGAGGAAGGCGUUAAGGUUAAUAACCUUGGCGAUUGACGUUACCCGCAGAAGAAGCACCGGCUAACUCCGUGCCAGCAGCCGCGGUAAUACGGAGGGUGCAAGCGUUAAUCGGAAUUACUGGGCGUAAAGCGCACGCAGGCGGUUUGUUAAGUCAGAUGUGAAAUCCCCGGGCUCAACCUGGGAACUGCAUCUGAUACUGGCAAGCUUGAGUCUCGUAGAGGGGGGUAGAAUUCCAGAUAUAGCGGUGAAAUGCGUAGAGAUAUGGAGGAAUACCGGUGGCGAAGGCGGCCCCCUGGACGAAGACUGACGCUCAGGUGCGAAAGCGUGGGGAGCAAACAGG
This 429-nucleotide ribosomal RNA is filed under the name Chloroflexota bacterium. RNAcentral describes it as "Chloroflexi bacterium partial 16S ribosomal RNA". It matches the Rfam family "Bacterial small subunit ribosomal RNA", at positions 355 to 776 of the family's 1533-position model. The record is from RNAcentral. Lineage: Bacteria; Bacillati; Chloroflexota.